Molecule: ribosomal RNA, 461 nt
Filed under: Theileria sinensis
Lineage: Eukaryota; Apicomplexa; Aconoidasida; Piroplasmida; Theileriidae
Description: SSU rRNA
Rfam family: Eukaryotic small subunit ribosomal RNA
Source: RNAcentral
AUUCAUCUUUCAGAGUAUCAUUGGAGGGCAGUCUGGUGCCAGCAGCCGCGGUAAUUCCAGCUCCAAUAGCGUAUAUUAAAAUUGUUGCAGUUAAAAAGCUCGUAGUUGAAUUUCUGCUGCAUCGUCGCAUCUCUUGCUGAGUGCUUCGUUUCGGCUUAUUUCGGAUUGAUUUUUUCUUUCCGGAUGAUUACUUUGAGAAAAUUAGAGUGCUCAAAGCAGGCUUUUGCCUUGAAUAGUUUAGCAUGGAAUAAUAAAGUAGGACUUUGGUUCUAUUUUGUUGGUUUUAGGUACCAAAGUAAUGGUUAAUAGGAACAGUUGGGGGCAUUCGUAUUUAACUGUCAGAGGUGAAAUUCUUAGAUUUGUUAAAGACGAACUACUGCGAAAGCAUUUGCCAAGGAUGUUUUCAUUAAUCAAGAACGAAAGUUAGGGGAUCGAAGACGAUCAGAUACCGUCGUAGUCCU